RNAcentral lists this ribosomal RNA (250 nucleotides) under uncultured bacterium. RNAcentral's name for it is "partial 16S ribosomal RNA". It matches the Rfam family "Bacterial small subunit ribosomal RNA", at positions 524 to 773 of the family's 1533-position model. The record is from RNAcentral.
GACGGAGGGGGCAAGCGUUGUCCGGACUCACUGGGCGUAAAGGGUGCGCAGGCGGCAGAGCGCGUCCGCGCUGAAAUCUGUUGGCUUAACUGACAGGCGCGUGCGGAUACGGCUCAGCUCGAGGCACGGAGAGGGUGGGGGAACUCCUGGUGUAGUGGUGAAAUGCGUAGAGAUCAGGAAGAACACCCGUGGCGCAAGCGCCCACCUGGCCGUGACCUGACGCUGCGGCACGAAAGCGUGGGGAGCGAAC